AAACGCAUUAAGCACACCGCCUGGGGAGUACGACCGCACGGUUAGAACUCAAAUGAAUUGACGGGGACCCGCACAAGUAGUGGAGCAUGUGGUUCAAUUCGAAGAUACGCGCAGAACCUUACACAACACUUGACAUGUUCGUCGCGAGCCUAAGAGAUUAGGCUUUUCAGUUCGGCUGGACGAAACACAGGUGCUGCAUGGCUGUCGUCAGCUUGUGUCGUGAGAUGUUGGGUUAAGUCCCGCAACGAGCGCAACCCCUACCUUUAGUUGCCACCAUUUAGUUGGGCACUCUAGAGGGACUGCCAGUGAUAAGCUGGAGGAAGGCGGGGAUGACGUCAAGUCCUCAUCGCCCUUAUGUGUUGGGCUACACACGUGCUACAAUGGUACUUCCAACGGGAAGCAAAGAUGCGAGUAUAAGCUAAUCCUAAAAAUGUACCUCAGUUCGGAUUGCACUCUGUAACUCGAGUGCAUGAAGCUGGAAUUACUAGUAACCGCGGAUCAGCGCGCCGCGGUGAAUACGUCCCCGGGUCUUGUACACACCGCCCGUCACACCAUGGAAGUUGGUUACACCUUAAGGCAAAUUGUCAACCUUCGGGAGACAUUUGACUACGGUACGAUCAGCAACUGGGGUGAAGUCGUAACAAGGUACC
Molecule: ribosomal RNA, 650 nt
Filed under: uncultured bacterium
Lineage: Bacteria
Description: bacterial SSU rRNA
Rfam family: Bacterial small subunit ribosomal RNA
Source: RNAcentral